This 253-nucleotide ribosomal RNA is filed under the name uncultured bacterium. RNAcentral's name for it is "partial 16S ribosomal RNA". It matches the Rfam family "Archaeal small subunit ribosomal RNA", at positions 474 to 727 of the family's 1478-position model. The record is from RNAcentral.
UACCAGCACCCCGAGUGGUCGGGACGUUUAUUGGGCCUAAAGCAUCCGUAGCCGGUUCUACAAGUCCUCCGUUAAAUCCAGCUGCUUAACAGAUGGGCUGCGGAGGAUACUAUAAGACUAGGAGGCAGGAGAGGCAAGCGGUACUCAGUGGGUAGGGGUAAAAUCCGUUGAUCCAUUGAAGACCACCAGUGGCGAAGGCGGCUUGCCAGAAUGCGCUCGACGGUGAGGGAUGAAAGCUGGGGGAGCAAACCGG